UACGUAGGUGGCAAGCGUUGUCCGGAUUUACUGGGUUUAAAGGGUGCGUAGGCGGUUCCAUAAGUCAGUUGUUAAAGGCAGCAGCUUAACUGUUGUAAGGCGAUUGAUACUGUAGAACUUGAAUUAUUUCGAGGUUGUCGGAAUACGUAGUGUAGCGGUGAAAUGCUCAGAUAUUACGUAGAACGCCGAUUGCGAAGGCAGAUAACUAGGAAUAGAUUGACGCUGAGGCACGAAAGUGUGGGGAGCGAACAGG
RNAcentral lists this ribosomal RNA (253 nucleotides) under uncultured bacterium. RNAcentral's name for it is "partial 16S ribosomal RNA". It matches the Rfam family "Bacterial small subunit ribosomal RNA", at positions 524 to 776 of the family's 1533-position model. The record is from RNAcentral.